CCUUGUGGAGGAGGACGCCGAAGGUGGGGCUAAUGACUGGGGUGAAGUCGUAACAAGGUAGCCGUACCGGAAGGUGCGGCUGGAUCACCUCCUAACAGGGAGACAACAAAAUGUUUAAUAUUAUUAUUUUGUCACCUUAGGUCGAUCGGUAUCUCACAUUCUUAAUUUAUUAAGGAUUUUAUUUCCUAAGUUUUUUCUAGGUCACACCCAUUACUUUUCCUGGGCCAUUAGCUCAGGUGGUUAGAGCGCACCCCUGAUAAGGGUGAGGUCCCUGGUUCAAGUCCAGGAUGGCCCAUAUCUCUAUGUUGGGGGUAUAGCUCAGUUGGUAGAGCGCCUGCUUUGCAAGCAGGAUGUCAGCGGUUCGAGUCCGCUUACCUCCACUGAUUACCACCUCUUCCAUAAUUUUUAUUAAGGAAAUGUUUUGAGUAGUGAUCAAAUUCUGAACGAAUCUAGCUUCCUAAUGAAUUCAUUAAGAUGCUGGACUCAUUGAAUUAUUUUCAUUGUUUUCAGAGAACCUUGACAACUGCAUAGAUUAUUUUUAAAGACAAUAAGCAUCUUUAUGAUGCAGAUUUAUUAUUUGUGCGAAUGCAUUAAUAACAAUUCUAUUAAGCUGAUGCUUCAAUUAUGAAGUUAUUGGUCAAGCUACAAAGGGCUCACGGAGGAUACCUAGGCACACAGAGGC
Molecule: unclassified non-coding RNA, 682 nt
Filed under: uncultured Prochlorococcus sp.
Lineage: Bacteria; Bacillati; Cyanobacteriota; Cyanophyceae; Synechococcales; Prochlorococcaceae
Description: partial may contain 16S ribosomal RNA, 16S-23S ribosomal RNA intergenic spacer, and 23S ribosomal RNA
Rfam family: Bacterial small subunit ribosomal RNA (bases 1-95)
Source: RNAcentral